UCCACUGAGGAUGGCCACUUAAGUGGGCACUUUCAAUCCAGCAAAACGCACAGCUCAUCCAACACCCGGCCCUACUACCCUCCCCAAAACUCCUCCAAGUUAUGUGGCCCAAGGCCCUGGCUGCCCAGUCGGCGUCGCAAGUGGGACACCAUGGGCACAAAAUAUUCCCAGUCAUCCUACCUUCCAGUAAUGCAGGCUCCACAGGGUGGGAGAUCAGCCCUGGGUCCAACCACCUGGACGGGAGCGCAGCACCCUCACCGGGGCCCCACACAUCCCUGGCCAGCCACCAGCCUCCUGGAAGAUGCCUGCCUCCCAAACUCACAGAGCCGGAGAGCCCUGGCAAGCAGCUUCAUCCUGCGGAUAGGGAUGGGAAGAACACUGGAUCUGGAGUCAGAAGACUUGGGCAGGGGCUGUCCCUGGAGCUCCUGGAGCAGGAUGACCUUACACAGUUACUCAACUCCCAAAACUGCCAUUUCCUCCUCCACACAGAGUCGAUGGGAGCAGAACAGCCAUACAGCUAAAGUCAAAGGGGCAGGGCUCCCCCAAAGACGUUCCCCCUCUGGAAAAGUCAAAACCGACCUUGAGGUAAGGAGAGGCCCUCGACCAGGCCAGAAGAUGAGACUGAGAGUCAAGGAGCGCCGUAGACCCAGGACUUGCUAUAUGCCCAGCCUUCCUGGAGAUGUCAACAUCUACAGGAAAGUAACUUGCUUCUAUUGGACUUGGCUUGAGCCCAAGGUCAGUCUGUGAUGCCCAACCCCCAAAUGUGAGGAACCCACUACCAAAACAGAAAGCAGCUCUCACUCCUGGUAGUUCAUCAAGCAGGAUAGGACCGGUCGCAGGCCACAGAGCCUGUGUGCAGGGACUGAAAACCUAGACUCCUUGUCCUCACUUAGCUCAUGCACAAAUGCCAGCCUGCUGCUUCCGAUUCUGCCGAAGAGAACUGCAGAGUAACCUUGAGGCUGC
Molecule: long non-coding RNA, 963 nt
Organism: Gorilla gorilla gorilla (western lowland gorilla)
Lineage: Eukaryota; Metazoa; Chordata; Mammalia; Primates; Hominidae
Exons: 3
Source: RefSeq, a predicted model, not a curated record